Molecule: ribosomal RNA, 465 nt
Filed under: uncultured Klebsiella sp.
Lineage: Bacteria; Pseudomonadati; Pseudomonadota; Gammaproteobacteria; Enterobacterales; Enterobacteriaceae
Description: bacterial SSU rRNA
Rfam family: Bacterial small subunit ribosomal RNA
Source: RNAcentral
CCUACGGGUGGCUGCAGUGGGGAAUAUUGCACAAUGGGCGCAAGCCUGAUGCAGCCAUGCCGCGUGUGUGAAGAAGGCCUUCGGGUUGUAAAGCACUUUCAGCGGGGAGGAAGGCGUUAAGGUUAAUAACCUUGGCGAUUGACGUUACCCGCAGAAGAAGCACCGGCUAACUCCGUGCCUGCAGCCGCGGUAAUACGGAGGGUGCAAGCGUUAAUCGGAAUUACUGGGCGUAAAGCGCACGCAGGCGGUCUGUCAAGUCGGAUGUGAAAUCCCCGGGCUCAACCUGGGAACUGCAUUCGAAACUGGCAGGCUAGAGUCUUGUAGAGGGGGGUAGAAUUCCAGGUGUAGCGGUGAAAUGCGUAGAGAUCUGGAGGAAUACCGGUGGCGAAGGCGGCCCCCUGGACAAAGACUGACGCUCAGGUGCGAAAGCGUGGGGAGCAAACAGGAUUAGAUACCCGAGUAGUC